RNAcentral lists this ribosomal RNA (315 nucleotides) under uncultured eukaryote. Its description in RNAcentral is "partial 18S ribosomal RNA". It matches the Rfam family "Eukaryotic small subunit ribosomal RNA", at positions 1470 to 1796 of the family's 1831-position model. The record is from RNAcentral.
CCCUUAGACGUUCUGGGCCGCACGCGCGCUACACUGACCAGUGCAACAAGCAUCCGUCCUUGGCCGACAGGCCCGGGCAAUCUUUGAACGCUGGUCGUGAUGGGGAUAGACUUUUGCAAUUUUUGGUCUUCAACGAGGAAUUCCUAGUAAACGUAAGUCAUCAACUUGCAUUGAUUACGUCCCUGCCCUUUGUACACACCGCCCGUCGCACCUACCGAUUGAAUGGUCCGGUGAAGCCUCCGGAUUGGCGCGCACCUCGGUGCCGCCGAGAAGUUGGCUAAACCUUACCAUUUAGAGGAAGGUGAAGUCGUAACA